UGGGGAAUCUUGCACAAUGGGCGGAAGCCUGAUGCAGCGACGCCGCGUGGGGGAUGACGGCCUUCGGGUUGUAAACUCCUUUCGCCAGGGACGAAGCCGUGAGGUGACGGUACCUGGAUAAGAAGCACCGGCUAACUACGUGCCAGCAGCCGCGGUAAUACGUAGGGUGCGAGCGUUGUCCGGAAUUACUGGGCGUAAAGAGCUCGUAGGUGGUUUGUUGCGUCGUCUGUGAAAUUCCGGGGCUUAACUCCGGGCGUGCAGGCGAUACCGGGAAAACUUGGGUGCUGGAGGGGGAACUGGAAAUCCUGGGGGAGCGGGGAAAUGCGGAGGUAUCAGGAGGGACACCGAUGGGGAAAGGAGGUCUCUGGGGAGUAACUGACGCUUAGGAGCGAAAGGAUGGGUAGCGAACAGG
RNAcentral lists this ribosomal RNA (412 nucleotides) under bacterium. RNAcentral describes it as "partial 16S ribosomal RNA". It matches the Rfam family "Bacterial small subunit ribosomal RNA", at positions 355 to 776 of the family's 1533-position model. The record is from RNAcentral.